RNAcentral lists this long non-coding RNA (1972 nucleotides) under Homo sapiens (human). RNAcentral's name for it is "HSALNT0338225". The record is from RNAcentral. Lineage: Eukaryota; Metazoa; Chordata; Mammalia; Primates; Hominidae.
CACUGUGGACAUAUAGAGAUGGUUCUAGGACCUAGCACUGGGAGCUCUAACAUGAUCUUAUAUAGCUAGAAAGAAAGUACUUCUUCAUUGUUUGCAAUAGAGGAGUGAUAGAUAAAGUGGUGACAGAGGAAAGAGACAAGAAAAGGAAUAUAAAGUAGGGAAAAUUGUGAGGUUGUGAUCAGACUGAGCUCAGAAACAAACUUUCUGCUUCCUUGGUGAGUGGCAGGAAUUACUACAAACUCUGGCAUGCUUUCUUAAUUGUACCACAAAAAGUGAAGGUGAAACAUGACCUUAAUACUUCCAGAAAGCCCUGAAUAGUUCUUGUUUGACAUAUAAGUAUGAGUAAAGGAUUCAGGUAGCUUCUAUAUAUUAUUAAUAAUUCAGCUUUAAAGCCAAACUUUCUUAACUACCUCUCACUUAGAUUCCUGGAUUUUAGAUUUUUAAGGCUGUUAAGACCUUUCCAUAGUGCAUCUGCUCAUGCGUUUGAAUCACAAUUUUGUAAUAUUAAGUAACCAAAUUAAAAUACCCAAAUAAAAUGAGUGUUAAGAUUUGUUAAGUCUAAAAUAGCCCUCCAUGACAUCUGACCUAAUAUGUUUUUUCUCCAAAAACAGAUUGUUUGUUCUCAUUGAUUUACUUAUUGCACAUAAAUAUUUUGAAAUUUAAUUUAUAAAUUUAUUUAGCAAAAUACUACCUUUAAGAUGCAUGUAUUUGGAUUAAUAUAUCAACAUUAUUCUAGAAAGAGAACUCUCUUUAUAUUAUAUUACAUUAUUAUUUAUAUUAUUAUUCUUUCUCUCUAGAAGAGAGAGAAUGAUGAGAAAUUGCUCAGUGUUUACCUUUGUGGAGAGGGCUCAGAGGGAAGGGGAAGAAGCUUUUACUCUUUAUUUUGUAUCUUUAUGUAUGGUUUCAGCUUCCUAGUUAAAUUUGUUUUACUUCUGUAUUUUUUGUCCUUGGCUGUGGACUUAUGAGCCAUUUUUGUUUUCUUUCUUAUAAUACAAUCAUGUGCCACAUAAUAAUGUUUUGGUCAAUGACAGACUGCAUAUGUGACAGUGGUCCUGUGAGAUUAUAAGACUGUGUUUUUAAUGUACCUUCUCCAUGUCUAGAUAUGUUUAGGUACACAAAUACUUACCGUGUGUUACAGUUGCCUACAGUAUGCAGUAGAGUAACAUGCUGUUCAGCUUGUAGCCCAGGAGCAGGAGGCUCUACCAUACAGCCUAGGUGUGUAGUAGGCUAUACCAGCUGGGUCUGUGCAAGUGCACUCUAUAACGUACUCACAAUGAUGAAAUCACCUAAUGACACAUUUCUCAGAAUGUAUCUGCAAUGUUAAGUGCUACACAAGUGUACUUUCUAUUUAAAAACAAUAAAUUCAGCUGGGCAUGGUGGCUCAUGCCUGUAAUCCAAGCAGUUUGGGAGGCCAAAGUGGGAGAAUUGCUUGAGGCCAGGAGUUUGAGACCAGCCUGGGCAACAUAUCGAGACCUGCAUCUCUACAAAAAAAUUUUUAUAAUAAAAAAAUUAGCCAAGCAUGGUGACAUGUAUCUGUAGUCCUAGCUACUCAGGAUGCUGAAGUGGGAGGAUCCCUGGAGCCCAGGGUGUCAAGGCCACAGUGAGCUAUGAUUACACCACUGCACUCUAGCCUGGGCAGAAGAGAGAGACUCUGUCUAUGAAAAAAUAAAAAAAAAAACUUUGUAUUUUAAUUUUAAAAACCUUUUAUUUAUUUUAUAUGUUUGGUUUCUUUGUGUGAUUUUACCUGGGAAAACUGGAAUCUGCUUUAGAAAGUUUAGGCCGGGUGUGGUGGCUCACACCUGUAAUCCCAGCACUUUGGGAGGCCGAGGCGGGCGGUUUACGAGGUCAGGAGAUCGAGACCAUCCUGGCUAACACGGUGAAACCGUCUCUACUAAAAAUACAAAAAAUUAGCCAGGCGUGGUGGCAGGCGCCUGAAGUCCCAGCUACUGGGGAGGCUGAGGCAGGAGAGUGG